CUUCGUAUUUGCUGUUGCUUGAUUUUUUGUUUUUUAAUGUGAAUCUUUGGCUGUUUUUUGUUUCAUUUCAUCUUCCUUUUUUUCAAACACACUCAAAGGUUGAAUAAACAAAGACAACGUUAUCCACUGGGAGAGGCCAAGGAAGGAUAUUAAUGAUUGUAAACUGUCAUUUCUAAUCAUCUUUCCUCGGGCAAACCGGAAUCAACUUAUCAACGCAGUUGACAAGAUUUGGACUUGCCUAAUUAUCAUCAACAUCAGGGGACCAUCAUAAUUUUCCUAUUCCAUGUCUAACUUUUCAAGUCCAUCAAGUUUUACCACAUUUUAAUUGGAUUAAGUUUACGUUAAUCACAAUCACUUAAUUCAGAAAGAUUAUUCAAGAUGAUGGUGAUCACCAUUUUGAAGGAUUGCAAAUUAAAUUAAAUUACAUCAAGAUUGUUGAACUUGGUAAGCAAUGAUUGAAGAACCAGAGGAUUCUAAUUCUAUGUUAUUUAACAAACAUAACAAUAAAAGGAGAGAAAUGGUAAACCAUAAAAGGCAAUAGAAGAGGAUAGCCCACUAUGUGUCCAAAUUGUGUGGGUUUUCAUUGGAACCAUUAAACUCAUAGUUAGGUUAACAUGAACAAUAACAACAAUAAUAAUAAUAAUUAUUAUCCCCACCGUUUCUAUCUGAACCUGUGAAAGUUGAUCAACAAAAGGGUGUUGUGUUCAGAAAGUGUUCAGACUUGUUGAUAAGUUAUAAAUCACAUUAGACCAGUUUUAAUCAUCACUUAUUAUCGAUCAACCUGCUACAUUCAAAGAUGACUUGUUAUCAUGAUUAGUGAGAGUUUUGAAGCUUGGUCUAAACAGCGGCUAAUAUUUUUCAAUGAAGAAUCAACAUUACCUUUUGACUUUCUCUAUCCACCCAAACAAAAUUUUACCUGAUAAUCAUCAUCAACUUCAUCUUCAUUUUUAUCAUCACCUUUAGUUUAACCUUUAUAACAGUUUGUUAUCAAGUGCAUCAAAAUUAUAUAGCCUAUUAUAUCAAGUCAACCUAAAGUCAACUUGAAUUACAAUUACCUUGCUGUUAACUUUAUCUAGAUAAACUUCAACUUCUAGACUCAAGGCGUAAUUCAACGCUUAAAGAGUCCAAAGACGCAAAGAUUUUAAAGCUUACACCUUGAAUGGAGGAAACAGAGAUUGGCUACACAAUGAUAUAAAUAAAUGGCUGAACUGAAUUACGGGACUUAACAUGAUAAACUGAAUAGCAAUCAACUCAGGAUGAGACAAGUUGAGUGUAUUGCAACUAAAUCAGCCAAUCAUCAUAAUACUCAUCAAUUAUGCCAGUAAAGUUCAAGAUGAUUACAAAUUGACGAGAAGCUGUUUAUUUUUCAACAAUGAUUGUUGUCGUUUCUCCAAUUUAUGCUGUCCAUUCAAUUUAAAGCAAUUUCCACUUUCAAUUUGAUGGUCAAGACUUUCAUUUAAUUUAAAGCUAAUAUCAGGGUUGCUUUAUGGAAUGAGAAAAAUUACUUGAAAUAUUCAUUUGUUUUGUCCAAAAUAAUAUUUGAUUUUUCAAGAAAAUGGCCCAACAAUAAUAACCAGAAUCAACCCUCGCAAAAGCACAAUAAACUAUCCGGAAGAAGGAACGAUAAUUAACAAUUUAUUGACUAAACAAAUCAAAUUGUUUAAUAAUAUUGUUCCUACGAUUAUCAAUGAUUAUUACUUAACAUCUCGAUACCUUCAGUUGUUGGCCAAUUUACCGCUAAAUCAUUGUUAUAAGCUGAUUCUUAACCCAUUUACUCAAAUUGAUACAAUCAAAUUAGAUAAUCUGGGUUUAAUCAUUAUAUCGAAUCACAAUGAUUAUAGUGUGAUAAAUUUUGUCUAGUUAAUCUGCUAAUUGGGAUCAUUUUUCAUUGAAUCGCAGAAAGAUUUCAGUUUGUAUUUAAGCUUGUUUUAUGAUGUAAGCUUUGUGUCCAUUGGUAAUAUUGAACUCAAAUGAAACUGACCAUUUAAUCAAUCAAAUGAAAUCUGUAUUGAAAAGUAUUGAAUUGCCAUCUGUUUAGCAUUAAAUUUCAAUGUAUUUAAAGUGAAAGAUUAAAAUGUUGUCUCAAUCUGGGCUUGAGUCAAGAAUAAUGUUAACAAUGAUUAUUGCUGUCAGUCAAAUAAAAAGUUAUUAUUGCUAAUUAGAAACAACAGGAACAUAACAAUUUACUGUAAUUGUAAGCAAUUUAUUGAUUAGUCUGUCAACUGAAUUUUGUUAUUUACCCCAAACUAUUAGCUAUUAUGUUUGAUGAAGAUGAUGCUAAACAAUUGUAAACUGUUCAACCAGUUUUCAUCUUGCUUUCUCGCUCUCUCAUUCAAUCUUUUAUUGUAGUUUAACUUGUUUACUUGUUUUUCGCUUAUUAUUUAUUAAUUGUAUGUCAUCAAUAAAUUUAAAUCUGGUUAUCUGUUUCCGGAAAAAUUGAACUUUGGGUUUACUAGUUGAUAAAAAUAAAUCUCCUUAAAAAUGGACACCAUUUGAAUGGGAAAACAAAUACACUUUCACUAUUAGGUGAGAAGCAUCACUAUUUGCUCAUUAUUAGUGCCCAUCUUUUUUAUUUGAUAUUAUUGUUAAUACAAUUAUAAUCAUUCCUGAGUCAUUAAUCUAUCACAAUUAAUGAAGCCAGUUGUAAGUUAUAGAUAUAUAAAUAUAGAUAAUUCAAUAGAUAAGUAUAUUAAUAUAAUAAUUAGAUGAUGAUGGGCUUGAGGUGAAAACAUCAACAAAAGAAGUAAAUCUUGACCAGUCCAAUUAUACACUGUUGAUUGAUUUAUAUUAGAGUAGACAUAAAAACUGAUCAAUAUUGACAACUUGAAAACUAAUAUAUUUCAGUGUUUAAUUAUAAUUGUUUUUAAAUGAAAAGUAAACCAUUAAACUUGAUAGUUAACACAGAUGUUGAUUAAUUUGUUGUCAAAAAUUUACGCUGUGAGAAUAAGAUGCAAAAGUUAGGUUAAAAUAGCCUACAGAACGGUUAUGUUUUGUUAGUGAAAAUAACUUAAAACCUAAUCAACUUAUUACAUUUGUAUGAUAAUUGAUCAAUUAUUUCAUAGAUAACAAUUCAUCUUGUAAACUAACUGUUAUUAUAAAUGUAUUUAAUUAUGCUUUGUGAGGAAACAGAUAUGUUUUGUAUCAAUGUGAGUUUGGUAGCUUCGUUUAAAAAAGGCCGAGAAGCUGAUGAUCUUUAUUUCAUCGAUACAAAGGAAAUCCUUACAACUUCAAAUGAUUAAGACGAUGGCAAAUGAACAUGUUUAUAUGAACCCAAAAACCAACUUCAGCCAUCUUAUUCAAUUGAUGUUUACCUUUGAAUGUGUGGUAAAAGGCAAAGGAAAUGGUUGAAAAUCUGAUUCAACAAUUGUGCCUAGAGAUUGUAUCGAUUGACAUCACAAACAGCUGUCCUAAUAUCAUUUUCAUUUCGUGACUCAUUUCCACCAAUUCCACCUAAUAGAGAUUAUCCUUGGACACUUUUACUUUUACCAUUUUGAAUGUUAUUUCCAUCUUUAAUCUUUAUCUCAACCAAAUCGACGGCUUUGCAUUGUCAAUCUUAAAUGUUGUCCAUAAUAAGGCCAAAUAUCAACAAAAUGGCCUGUUAAUAGACAGCCUCAAACAAAGUAAUAACCAUUUAUUCAAAUAACGGCUCUAUUUGGUUAGGUAAUAUACGCCGAAAAUGAUGAUUUAGCUAACUUAUAACAUGCUGAAAUGUACUUGAUUAAUAAAUAAAGGGAGAAAAAUGGUGAACUUUCACCCGAUUUAGCUAGUUGAUUGUAAAUAAAAUUUUCAAUAAUAA
This is a non-coding RNA of Tetranychus urticae (two-spotted spider mite), 3796 nucleotides long. The record is from RefSeq and is a predicted model, not a curated record. Lineage: Eukaryota; Metazoa; Arthropoda; Arachnida; Trombidiformes; Tetranychidae.